This is an unclassified non-coding RNA of Fukomys damarensis (Damara mole-rat), 343 nucleotides long. Its record names the gene 7SK. It matches the Rfam family "7SK RNA". From Rfam's summary of the family: 7SK was discovered as an abundant small nuclear RNA in the mid-70s but a possible function has only recently been suggested. Two independent studies have found that 7SK RNA binds the CDK9/cyclin T complex (known as elongation factor P-TEFb). Lineage: Eukaryota; Metazoa; Chordata; Mammalia; Rodentia; Bathyergidae. The record is from Ensembl.
GGAUGUGAGGGUGAUCUGGCUGUGACUUCUGUCACCAGGGUUCAGGUGGCUGAUCUGGCCGGCUGGGUAGUGUCUCUUGCACCACUCAUAGCUUCAUAUGCAUCCUUCCUGAAGCUGCACACUUGGUCAAAGAGGACAAGAGGACAAUCUUCCCAGACAGAGGAGGACCAUUUCUUCGUCAAGGGCAUAGGAGUAGCCAGCCUCUGCUAGAACCUCCAAAACAGCCAAGCUCAUUGAAGUUCUUUGCUAGUUACAGUGAUGGUACAGGAAGGGAGUGCGGAAGAUGCCAAUAAGAUCCUGAACAGAAUCCGCACCAUGCUUAGGCACAUUAAGGACAUUAAGC